UACGUAGGUGACCAGCGUUGUCCGGAUUUACUGGGCGUAAAGAGCGCGCAGGCGGUCGAUUUAGUCGCGUGUGAAAGCCCCCGGCUCAACUGGGGAGGGUCACGCGAUACUGAUCGACUCGAAGGCAGGAGAGGGUAGUGGAAUUCCCGGUGUAGUGGUGAAAUGCGCAGAUAUCAGGAGGAACACCAAUUGCGAAGGCAGCUCGCUGGGACGUUACUGACGCUGAGACGCGAAAGCGUGGGGAGCAAACAGG
This 253-nucleotide ribosomal RNA is filed under the name uncultured bacterium. RNAcentral describes it as "partial 16S ribosomal RNA". It matches the Rfam family "Bacterial small subunit ribosomal RNA", at positions 524 to 776 of the family's 1533-position model. The record is from RNAcentral.